CUAGAUCAAACACAAGAAUGAUUGUGAUUGUAUCCUAAGAAAACCAUCGGCCGUCGUAUUAACUACUAAAAAUAUGAUUAAACCUAUGAUUAAGUCCAUGCCAUCUGUUUCUUAUUAAUUAAUUUAUUUUUGGUUAUAUGGUCUUCUUCCUCCCCUUUGCGUUUUGGAAAACCAAGUUUGGUAUAAAAAUGAAGCAAGAAAAUAUAGGUAAUAUUGGUGAAAUUCAGAAAGCAGCCCAAGUAUAUAUAUAUGUAUAAAUGUAAGAAAAUUGGCUGUUACAUAAUUAUUUGAAUUUGUAAUAUUGUUUUGAGUAAAUUGUAACAAUGGUACCUUAACUUUAACUCAAUUGGAGUAAUGGUCACUUAACUAAAAAUCUAUCACCAUUAUUCCCUCAACUCAUCAAAACAUGCAGCUAUGGUCUCUCAACUAAAAAUUCAUUACCAUUGGUCUCUCAACUGUAAUCCAACUGGAAAAAUGGUUCCUCAAUUGUAACUCAAUUGGAGCAAUGGUCCCUCAACUUUAACUCGAUUGGAGUAAGAGUCAUUUCAACAUAACUCAUUUUGACAAAGUUGACAAAAAUGACCUUGGCUACACGUUUUAUGAGUUGAGAGACCCCAAUUAUGGCAAUGGUCAUUCCAACAUAACUUAUUUUGACAAAAUUCUGACGAAGUUGAAGAAAAUGACCAUAUCUACACAUUUUGAUGAGUUGAGGGACCAAUGGUAAUGAAUUUUCAGUUGAGAGACCAUUGCUCCAAUUUGAUUAAAAUUGAGGAACAAUUGCUACAAUUUACUCUUUUGUUUUUGUUAUGUAGUUGGAGUACAAUAGCUUUUCCACUUUCGGACUUCUUCCUACUUCUUGUGCCCAUUCUGGUUGCCAACCCUAGCUAAAGUUGAAGUCUGCUUGUUUCUUUUUAUCCAGCUUUCAUCAAUUACAUACUGCUUU
Molecule: long non-coding RNA, 943 nt
Filed under: Malus domestica (apple)
Lineage: Eukaryota; Viridiplantae; Streptophyta; Magnoliopsida; Rosales; Rosaceae
Description: long non-coding RNA (MDOM_LNC011185)
Source: RNAcentral